CUGGGACUUGAGAUUCCAGGUACCAACAUGCUCUUCAGAUGACUCGUAACCUCGCUCUAGUCGUAGCAAUACAAACAAACAGGGUAUAGGCAAAAUUAACAACACACCAAACAUAAGAACAAACUAUAUAAGCAUAUUCUACGCGUUACUACGAGAUCGUGAGAACGAGAACCACUAAAAUCAGAGUUAUGGUUAAGGAGUUAUGAUUUUAUAGAGGAUUUAUGUAUUCAACACAAGAUUAAAUAGGAUAUUAAUUUUAAUGUGACUUUUAUGUUAAAACAGUGGCACUAAUUGGUAGACAAUAAUAUUAUAAAAUUAUAGAAAUUGGAAUGGAUUGAUUUGGACUUCAUAUGAAUUUUAUAUGAAUUAAACAAGUUCUAGCAUUUAUUUUGACAUUAAAAAAAUCAUUUUCUAAUUACUUUUACUGGAUUUUAUAAAUCUCGGGAUUGGGCACAUGAAAACAGAGAAGAGCAGGGACCUCUACAUAAAUGUUCCUAAGACACAGAGCCCCGGCGCAGUACUGCGGGUUAGUUAACACAUUUUCUAGGGUCUCUUAUAUAAAAAGUACACGGUGAAGGGGUAUUAGGCAUCUUCUAAUCACCACCGUACAGCACGAGAUCAACGGAUGCCGGCCUUCUUCUACCUCACAGCGUCCCGACACAGCCAACAACGCUCCAUGGCGGGAACUCCAUAGCUCGUCGCGGAUCUCCACUAAAAUACCGGUGAACCCCAGGCUCCAUCCGCGACAUACCCCGCCCCUAUCGGGUAACAAAACUGGCGGUUGAUUACUUCGCAGCGGAAGACGAAAAAAAACGGAGCUCACCAGAGAUUAGCGCGCCAGGAAAACUGCUCGCCACUGGUGACCCAUGGCCCGCGACGAAACGGACGCCGCCGAUGGGGACCUUUCUUCACUCUCUCUCUCUCCCGAUCUCUCGCUCCCCGCAACUUCUCAUCAAGGACUAGGCCAGACACAACACGAUCGAGUUCGAUGGCGGCGGCUGGGUUCUUC
This 1009-nucleotide long non-coding RNA is filed under the name Zea mays. RNAcentral's name for it is "long non-coding RNA (ZMAY_LNC000954)". The record is from RNAcentral. Lineage: Eukaryota; Viridiplantae; Streptophyta; Magnoliopsida; Poales; Poaceae.